Molecule: non-coding RNA, 71 nt
Organism: Daphnia pulex (common water flea)
Lineage: Eukaryota; Metazoa; Arthropoda; Branchiopoda; Diplostraca; Daphniidae
Source: Rfam
GCAUCGAUGUUUCAGUGGUAGAAUGCUCGCUUGCCACGUGGGCGGCCCGGGUUCGAUUCCCGGUCGAUGCA